UACGGAGGGGGCUAGCGUUGUUCGGAAUUACUGGGCGUAAAGCGCACGUAGGCGGACCAUUAAGUCAGGGGUGAAAUCCCGGGGCUCAACCCCGGAACUGCCUUUGAUACUGGCGGUCUUGAGUUCGAGAGAGGUGAGUGGAAUUCCGAGUGUAGAGGUGAAAUUCGUAGAUAUUCGGAGGAACACCAGUGGCGAAGGCGGCUCACUGGCUCGAUACUGACGCUGAGGUGCGAAAGCGUGGGGAGCAAACAGGAUUAGAAACCCCCGUAGUCC
This 273-nucleotide ribosomal RNA is filed under the name uncultured bacterium. RNAcentral describes it as "partial 16S ribosomal RNA". It matches the Rfam family "Bacterial small subunit ribosomal RNA", at positions 524 to 796 of the family's 1533-position model. The record is from RNAcentral.